RNAcentral lists this long non-coding RNA (557 nucleotides) under Parus major (Great Tit). RNAcentral describes it as "lncRNA (ENSPMJG00000016181.1)". The record is from RNAcentral. Lineage: Eukaryota; Metazoa; Chordata; Aves; Passeriformes; Paridae.
CUGCUGUUUCCUUAUUUUUUGCAGGAAAGCAAAGGGUUGUUGACUUCCUCUCCCCUCCCUUCCUUCCUUCUUUCUGAAGGUACUGUACUCAUCUGAAAAAAAAAAAAAACACAAACCCAGAACGAAAUGAUUGUUCCUGUUCUCCUUCUUAAGUCAUUUGAAACAUUGUCCCUGCUAGUUUUCUAAGUUUACUGCAAUCUCUGCACAGGGGGGAGGGAGACAGUGGGAGACAGAAACAGAUAUUACAAACAUGAGAGCAGGUAGUGUUUAGGGCAAGACUCCUUCCAGCUUCAACAACUGGGCACCUGGGCUGCGCUUCCACCCUGGGACAGCCUCCGGCUUCCACCCCUCACUGAAGCAACUAGUGGAAAGGACUUUCUGCCUCCCUCCAUCUGGUGUCUUUCUGCAGGUUUUUCCAUAAGAAGAAAUGGUGUACCACAGAUUCAGCCCAGUUUCUGGGUAAGUUGUAGAUUCCUUAUGCUUUGGGAGCAGCCAAAGGGGGCUCUGCCAAAGGAGAUGGAAAUAACUUGUUUCUUGAACUCCUUAGCUUAAUGUUG